Molecule: ribosomal RNA, 768 nt
Filed under: Aerococcus viridans
Lineage: Bacteria; Bacillati; Bacillota; Bacilli; Lactobacillales; Aerococcaceae
Description: bacterial SSU rRNA
Rfam family: Bacterial small subunit ribosomal RNA
Source: RNAcentral
UGCAGUCGAGCGAACAGAUGAAGUGCUUGCACUUCUGACGUUAGCGGCGAACGGGUGAGUAACACGUAAGGAAUCUACCUAUAAGCGGGGGAUAACAUUCGGAAACGGGUGCUAAUACCGCAUAAUAUCUUCUUCCGCAUGGAAGAAGAUUGAAAGACGGCUCUGCUGUCACUUAUAGAUGACCUUGCGGUGCAUUAGUUAGUUGGUGGGGUAACGGCCUACCAAGACGAUGAUGCAUAGCCGACCUGAGAGGGUGAUCGGCCACAUUGGGACUGAGACACGGCCCAAACUCCUACGGGAGGCAGCAGUAGGGAAUCUUCCGCAAUGGGCGAAAGCCUGACGGAGCAAUGCCGCGUGAGUGAAGAAGGCCUUCGGGUCGUAAAACUCUGUUAUAAGAGAAGAACAAAUUGUAGAGUAACUGCUACAGUCUUGACGGUAUCUUAUCAGAAAGCCACGGCUAACUACGUGCCAGCAGCCGCGGUAAUACGUAGGUGGCAAGCGUUGUCCGGAUUUAUUGGGCGUAAAGGGAGCGCAGGUGGUUUCUUAAGUCUGAUGUGAAAGCCCACGGCUUAACCGUGGAGGGUCAUUGGAAACUGGGAAACUUGAGUACAGAAGAGGAAUGUGGAACUCCAGGUGUAGCGGUGGAAUGCGUAGAUAUAUGGAAGAACACCAGUGGCGAAGGCGACAUUCUGGUCUGUUACUGACACUGAGGCUCGAAAGCGUGGGGAGCAAACAGGAUUAGGUACCCUGGUAGUCCACGCCGUAAAC